AACGAAUGCUGGCGGCAUGCCUAACACAUGCAAGUCGAACGAGACCUUCGGGUCUAGUUGCGCACGGGUGCGUAACGCGUGGGAACCUGCCCUUAGGUUCGGAAUAACUCCCCGAAAGGGGUGCUAAUACCGGAUAAUGUCUUCGGACCAAAGAUUUAUCGCCUUUGGAUGGGCCCGCGUUGGAUUAGCUAGUUGGUAGGGUAAAAGCCUACCAAGGCGACGAUCCAUAGCUGGUCUGAGAGGAUGAUCAGCCACACUGGGACUGAGACACGGCCCAGACUCCUACGGGAGGCAGCAGUGGGGAAUAUUGGACAAUGGGCGAAAGCCUGAUACAGCAAUGCCGCGUGAGUGAUGAAGGCCUUAGGGUUGUAAAGCUCUUUUACCCGGGAUGAUAAUGACAGUACCGGGAGAAUAAGCUCCGGCUAACUCCGUG
Molecule: ribosomal RNA, 433 nt
Filed under: uncultured bacterium
Lineage: Bacteria
Description: partial 16S ribosomal RNA
Rfam family: Bacterial small subunit ribosomal RNA
Source: RNAcentral